UGGCGUGCAAUGAUGAUACACAAAUCAAGCAUAGUUCACUCUGAUUCAAGCAUGAACGACGCAAAUCUAGAAAUUAGUCUUUCGCUCCUAUCUGAUUUCGUUU
This 103-nucleotide small nucleolar RNA is filed under the name Cryptococcus depauperatus CBS 7841. RNAcentral's name for it is "Small nucleolar RNA snR60/Z15/Z230/Z193/J17". It matches the Rfam family "Small nucleolar RNA snR60/Z15/Z230/Z193/J17". From Rfam's summary of the family: The members of this family belong to the C/D class of snoRNAs which contain the C (UGAUGA) and D (CUGA) box motifs. Most of the members of the box C/D family function in directing site-specific 2'-O-methylation of substrate RNAs. The record is from Rfam by way of RNAcentral. Lineage: Eukaryota; Fungi; Basidiomycota; Tremellomycetes; Tremellales; Cryptococcaceae.